RNA transcript from Vigna unguiculata (cowpea), 707 nucleotides. RefSeq lists it as uncharacterized. NCBI's taxonomy places the organism in Eukaryota, Viridiplantae, Streptophyta, Magnoliopsida, Fabales, Fabaceae. The record is from RefSeq and is a predicted model, not a curated record.
AAAAGAGGUAAAAGAUAAAUGGAAUUUAUCCAACUUAAGAAAAAUCUGAUACACAGUAGAUGGAGUUCAGCAAGGUUGGGUUCUUCUCUAUAGUGGUGUGCAUUUAUUGUUUUCUCUGAUUUCACCGUUCACCUCCACCUCGCCGCCGCCAUUAACACUUUCCUUCGUGCUCCUCUCUCAGGUAAAUGGGUCUGUGGACAUUACUUGAGGGGUUCCUUCUUCUUGCAAAUGCACUAGCAAUUCUGAAUGAGGACCGAUUUCUUGCACCUAGAGGAUGGGGCUUAUCAGACUUUUCGGCCGGCCAGACAAAGUCUUUCAAAGGCCAGGUUUUAGGUCUCAUUUAUGCAACACAGUACCUAAGAUUUCCUCUUAUACUUCUGAACUCUAUCUGCAUUAUCGUGAAGUUAGUUUCUGGAUGACGCCAGCAAGGUUCAAGAGUUAUCAUCAGAUUAUUUCAAAAUGUUCUUAGGUAGGAAAAUUGGACAAUGAUUAUCUACCCAAAAAAGGUCAAAUUCUAUUGUAGAAAUAUACAUUAAAAGUGUUCUUUUUAGGAUAUUUGUUGUCGUAAAAUCAAGUUUGCAAUAGUGACAUACGAAUCAGAAAAUGAGUUCAUUGUGCGGGUGUUGUAUUCAAUUUUUAAGAAUUGGUUACCCUCUGCAAGUUUUCCUUGUAUAAAUUCAGAUUGAUUUUAACUGCUUCUUGUUUGA